CCUACGGGAGGCAGCAGUAAGGAAUAUUGGUCAAUGGAGGCAACUCUGAACCAGCCAUGCCGCGUGCAGGAAGAAGGCCCUAUGGGUCGUAAACUGCUUUUGUACCAGAGAAAACCACAGUACGUGUACUGUGUUGAUAGUAUGGUAAGAAUAAGCAUCGGCUAACUUCGUGCCAGCAGCCGCGGUAAGACGAAGGAUGCAAGCGUUAUCCGGAUUCAUUGGGUUUAAAGGGUGCGUAGGCGGACUGAUAAGUCAGUGGUGAAAUCUCUCAGCUUAACUGAGAAACUGCCAUUGAUACUGUUAGUCUAGAGUAUAGAUGACGUUGGCGGAAUAUGACAUGUAGUGGUGAAAUACUUAGAUAUGUCAUAGAACACCGAUUGCGAAGGCAGCUAACGAAACUAUAACUGACGCUGAGCACGAAGUAGNGGAGUACAACAGAUAGUAUACCUCGUAGUCGCACCGUAACGAUANAUACUCGUUGUUGUGAUAU
RNAcentral lists this ribosomal RNA (490 nucleotides) under uncultured bacterium. RNAcentral describes it as "bacterial SSU rRNA". It matches the Rfam family "Bacterial small subunit ribosomal RNA", at positions 338 to 831 of the family's 1533-position model. The record is from RNAcentral.